GAAUGAAUGGAUGAAUAAAUAGGUGAUAACUGGAUGGUUGAAUGGAGGGACAGCUAGAUGGAAUGGAAGGAUAGAUGCAUGGGGGUAUGGAUAAUAAGAGAAGAAUGGGCAGAUAUGAUCAUGGGUAGGUGCAUGGAUGGAUGGAUAAAAAGAGAAGAAAAUGGAUGGAUGAAGAGAUGAUUAAAUAAGUGAUGGGGAUGAAUAAAUAGGUGAUAAAAGGCUUGCUGGAAUGGAUGGCUGGAUUGAUGGAUGAAUUAAUAGGGGAUGGAUGGAUGGAUGGAUGGAUGAAUUAAUAGGGGAUGUAUGGAUGAAUUAAUAGGUGAUAGAUGUCUGGCUGGAUGAGGGAUAAAUAAAUAGGGGAUGGAUGGAUGAAUUAAUAGGGGAUGGAUGAAUGAAUGAAUGGAUGGAUGAAUAAAUUGGUGAUAGAUGACUGGCUGGAUGGAGGGAUAAAUAAGUAGGUGAUGGAUGGAUGGAUGGAUGGACGGAUGAAUAAAUAGAUGAUGGCUGUAAGGAUGAAUGGAUGCAUGGACAGAUGGAUAAACAGAUGAGGAGAAAAAUGGA
Ictalurus punctatus (channel catfish) is the source of this 561-nucleotide long non-coding RNA. The record is from Ensembl. NCBI's taxonomy places the organism in Eukaryota, Metazoa, Chordata, Actinopteri, Siluriformes, Ictaluridae.